AGCAGCUUCACUCACUGCCAGUAUCUUUGACGGACGGGUGGGCACCAACGAGCUCCUCAAUUUCUACUAAAUUCCAGGCAUUUCGACUGAGAAGAAUGGAGGAGCGGAUUCAAGAGCUUCUUCAUGUGGACAAUGAGGUCGAGCUACAGAUGUGAAACGUGGCCACAAACAGCUUGAGGAACUUCCACAAUAAAGUGAAAUUCAGUUACAAUAUGUGGAGGCAGGAGGUCCACCACACAAAUACAGACACCACACUGAAGCUCACGAAGGAUCAGAUAAUAAUGCAAAGUGUAUGCCACCAUUGCGUGUUCCUAGGACGAGUCCGACUUGUAUGGGUCGCUCAUGAAGUGCAUAAUGGAAAGCGAAGCUUCUAUUGGGGAUGCAUAUAUGGACAAUGAGCUGGAUUCAAGCGCUUUAGAGAUAGCAAAAGCAAGUCCGCGGAGCUCAAUAUUGACAUAGUCAAGAACCAAAACAUGUUCCUGAUUCAGCAUGCUGCAAAGACGGUUCCCAUG
This is a long non-coding RNA of Lolium rigidum, 512 nucleotides long. RefSeq lists it as uncharacterized. The record is from RefSeq and is a predicted model, not a curated record. The transcript is spliced from 3 exons. Lineage: Eukaryota; Viridiplantae; Streptophyta; Magnoliopsida; Poales; Poaceae.